AUGAUGGCGGAGAUGGUGGACAUGGGCUCCACCGUCAGGUCGUCCAUCACCAGGUAGCUCACCACCUCCUUCACGUACCCUCCUGCUCCCGCAGACGCCGCCGCCGCCGCGGCCUCCUGGGCCGCCGCCUGCGCCAGCUUGCCGUGCGCGUCGCCGGGGCUCCACCGCAUCUCCACCGUCAUCGGCUGCCGGCACACCGGGCACGGCAGGCCGGCCACGUCCGUCACGCACGUCGGGUUCCCGCGGCACGACGUCCCGUACGGGCCCGCGCACCGGAAGUACCGCUUCGGCGGGGCGGGAGCCGGUGCGGCCGCUGCGGCCGGCUCGCCCGCGAGCAGCAGCGCGAGCGCGGCGGAGGGGAUCGCGGGGCAGAGGAUCGCGUCGCGGUCGGGCGCGGCUGCGACGAAGAACUCGUCGCCCAGUGCCUUGGCCCCGGCGUAG
Molecule: ribosomal RNA, 441 nt
Filed under: Triticum aestivum (bread wheat)
Lineage: Eukaryota; Viridiplantae; Streptophyta; Magnoliopsida; Poales; Poaceae
Description: partial small subunit ribosomal RNA
Source: RNAcentral